This 648-nucleotide ribosomal RNA is filed under the name uncultured bacterium. Its description in RNAcentral is "bacterial SSU rRNA". It matches the Rfam family "Bacterial small subunit ribosomal RNA", at positions 104 to 746 of the family's 1533-position model. The record is from RNAcentral.
GGGUGAGUAAUAUAUCGGAACGUGCCCAGUCGUGGGGGAUAACGCAGCGAAAGCUGUGCUAAUACCGCAUACGAUCUCUGGAUGAAAGCGGGGGACUCGCAAGAGCCUCGCGCGAUUGGAGCGGCCGAUAUCAGAUUAGCUAGUUGGCGGGGUAAAAGCCCACCAAGGCGACGAUCUGUAGCUGGUCUGAGAGGACGACCAGCCACACUGGAACUGAGACACGGUCCAGACUCCUACGGGAGGCAGCAGUGGGGAAUUUUGGACAAUGGGCGAAAGCCUGAUCCAGCAAUGCCGCGUGCAGGAUGAAGGCCUUCGGGUUGUAAACUGCUUUUGUACGGAACGAAACGGUCUGCCUUAAUACGGUGGGCUAAUGACGGUACAGUAAGAAUAAGCACCGGCUAACUACGUGCCAGCAGCCGCGGUAAUACGUAGGGUGCGAGCGUUAAUCGGAAUUACUGGGCGUAAAGCGUGCGCAGGCGGUUAUAUAAGACAGAUGUGAAAUCCCCGGGCUCAACCUGGGACCUGCAUUUGUGACUGUAUAGCUAGAGUACGGUAGAGGGGGAUGGAAUUCCGCGUGUAGCAGUGAAAUGCGUAGAUAUGCGGAGGAACACCGAUGGCGAAGGCAAUCCCCUGGACCUGUACUGACGC